CCCUUAGAUGUUCUGGGCCGCACGCGCGCUACACUGAUGCAUUCAACGAGUCUAAAACCUGAUCUGAUAGGGCUGGGUAAUCUUUUGAAAGUGCAUCGUGAUUGGGAUAGAUGAUUGCAAUUCCUCAUCUUCAACGAGGAAUGCCUAGUAAACGCAAGUCAUCAGCUUGCAUUGAUUACGUCCCUGCCCUUUGUACACACCGCCCGUCGCUCCUACCGAUUGAAUGAUCCGAUGAAUACCAUGGAUUGAGAGUACGAAUGGGUUCGCUCAUUUCUGCUGCUCGAGAAGUGGAGUAAAUCUUAUCAUUUAGAGGAAGGAGAAGUCGUAACA
RNAcentral lists this ribosomal RNA (330 nucleotides) under uncultured eukaryote. Its description in RNAcentral is "partial 18S ribosomal RNA". It matches the Rfam family "Eukaryotic small subunit ribosomal RNA", at positions 1470 to 1796 of the family's 1831-position model. The record is from RNAcentral.